This is a long non-coding RNA of Juglans microcarpa x Juglans regia, 407 nucleotides long. RefSeq lists it as uncharacterized. Lineage: Eukaryota; Viridiplantae; Streptophyta; Magnoliopsida; Fagales; Juglandaceae. The record is from RefSeq and is a predicted model, not a curated record. The transcript is spliced from 2 exons.
ACCUGAGUGGGUAAGAGUAGCUGUGGAGGAUGAAGCUCGUGUGUGACCCAAAAACCGCUCAUACUCAUCUUUCGAUGUACUAAUCAUACCUAAGUUGGAGUUAGUUGACUGUGAUGUAGUAUCUUGGCAAAUGGCCAGAUUAGCAGACCCAGAUGGUCUACCAUGUAGAUCCCAACAAUAGUCCACCGAAUGGUUAGUGCGACCACAACGGGUGCACUUAUGAGGCUCUCAACCUCGAGUGCGAUUACCUUUGGCAUCACGAGCAACAUAAGAGGUAACCGCAUCAUAUAACUGUGACUUAAAUUUAGUUGUCAUAUCUGAGAAACUCCACACAAUAUCACAACUGAACUUGGGGAUUGAAACUCCGCACAAUAUCUGAGAAAAAUCACAAUUCAACUUAAAAAAUU